GAUGAACGCUGGCGGUAUGCUUAACACAUGCAAGUCGAACGGUCACUUCGGUGAUAGUGGCGGACGGGUGAGUAACGCGUGAGAAUCUGUCUUCAGAUCGGGGACAACAGUUAGAAAUGACUGCUAAUACCGGAUGUGCCUUUGGGUGAAAGAUUUAUUGCCUGAAAAAGAGCUCGCGUCAGAUUAGCUAGUAGGUGGUGUAAGAGACUACCUAGGCUCCGAUCUGUAGCUGGUCUGAGAGGACGAUCAGCCACACUGGAACUGAGACACGGUCCAGACUCCUACGGGAGGCAGCAGUGGGGAAUUUUCCGCAAUGGGCGAAAGCCUGACGGAGCAAUACCGCGUGAGGGACGAAGGCUUUUGGGUCGUAAACCUCUUUUCUCAAGGAAGAUGAUGACGGUACUUGAGGAAUAAGCAUCGGCUAACUCUGUG
RNAcentral lists this ribosomal RNA (432 nucleotides) under uncultured bacterium. Its description in RNAcentral is "partial 16S ribosomal RNA". It matches the Rfam family "Bacterial small subunit ribosomal RNA", at positions 28 to 507 of the family's 1533-position model. The record is from RNAcentral.